This 696-nucleotide ribosomal RNA is filed under the name Ophiocordyceps sinensis. RNAcentral describes it as "SSU rRNA". It matches the Rfam family "Eukaryotic small subunit ribosomal RNA", at positions 223 to 934 of the family's 1831-position model. The record is from RNAcentral. Lineage: Eukaryota; Fungi; Ascomycota; Sordariomycetes; Hypocreales; Ophiocordycipitaceae.
ACCAAUGCCCUUCGGGGCUCACUGGUGAUUCAUGAUAACUCCUCGAAUCGCAUGGCCUUGUGCCGGCGAUGGUUCAUUCAAAUUUCUUCCCUAUCAACUUUCGAUGUUUGGGUAUUGGCCAAACAUGGUUGCAACGGGUAACGGAGGGUUAGGGCUCGACCCCGGAGAAGGAGCCUGAGAAACGGCUACUACAUCCAAGGAAGGCAGCAGGCGCGCAAAUUACCCAAUCCCGACACGGGGAGGUAGUGACAAUAAAUACUGAUACAGGGCUCUUUUGGGUCUUGUAAUUGGAAUGAGUACAAUUUAAAUCCCUUAACGAGGAACAAUUGGAGGGCAAGUCUGGUGCCAGCAGCCGCGGUAAUUCCAGCUCCAAUAGCGUAUAUUAWAGUUGUUGUGGUUAAAAAGCUCGUAGUUGAACCUUGGGCCUGGCUGGCCGGUCCGCCUCACCGCGUGUACUGGUCCGGCCGGGCCUUUCCCUCUGUGGAACCCCAUGCCCUUCACUGGGUGUGGCGGGGAAACAGGACUUUUACUGUKAAAAAAUUAGAGUGCUCCAGGCAGGCCUAUGCUCGAAUACAUUAGCAUGGGAUAAUAGAAUAGGACGUGUGGUUCUAUUUUGUUGGUUUCUAGGRCCCCCGUAAUGAUUAWUAGGGACAAUCGGGGGCAWCAAUAUUCAAUUGUCAAAAGUGAAAUGCUUGG